GAUGAACGCUAGCGGGAGGCCUAACACAUGCAAGCCGAGCGGUAUUUGUUCUUCGGAACAGAGAGAGCGGCGCACGGGUGCGGAACACGAGUGCAACCUGCCUUUAUCUGGGGGAUAGCCUUUCGAAAGGAAGAUUAAUACCCCAUAAUAUAUUGAGUGGCAUCAUUUGAUAUUGAAAACUCCGGCGGAUAGAGAUGGGCACGCGCAAGAUUAGAUAGUUGGUGAGGUAACGGCUCACCAAGUCAAUGAUCUUUAGGGGGCCUGAGAGGGGGAUCCCCCAGAAUGGGAACGGGGACCCGGACCAGAUGCUACGGGAGGCAGCAGUGAGGAAUAUUGGACAAUGGGUUAGCGCCUGAUCCAGCCAUCCCGCGUGAAGGACGACGGCCCUAUGGGUUGUAAACUUCUUUUGUAUAGGGAUAAACCUACUCUCGUGAGAGUAGCUGAAGGUACUAUACGAAUAAGCACCGGCUAACUCCGUG
RNAcentral lists this ribosomal RNA (479 nucleotides) under uncultured bacterium. RNAcentral describes it as "partial 16S ribosomal RNA". It matches the Rfam family "Bacterial small subunit ribosomal RNA", at positions 28 to 507 of the family's 1533-position model. The record is from RNAcentral.